Molecule: ribosomal RNA, 319 nt
Filed under: uncultured eukaryote
Lineage: Eukaryota
Description: partial 18S ribosomal RNA
Rfam family: Eukaryotic small subunit ribosomal RNA
Source: RNAcentral
CCCUUAGAUGUUCUGGGCUGCACGCGUGCUACAAUGGCGUUUCCAGCAAGUCUGCGAACCCGAGAGGGCCAGCGGAUCUUCGAAUUGGCGUCGUGAUCGGGACAGUCGAUUGCAAUUAUUUGACUCAAACGAGGAAUUCCUUGUAAUCGCGAUUCAUCAUAUCGCGCUGAAUACGUCCCUGCCCUUUGUACACACCGCCCGUCGCUCCUACCGAUUGAGCGAUCCGGUAAAUGUUUUGGAUUGGUGCCGGGGCGGCUAGCUGCCGGUCGCUACGAAAUUUUGUGAACCUUAUCGCUUAGGGGAAGGAAAAGUCGUAACA